CCUACGGGGGGCAGCAGUAGGGAAUCUUCCGCAAUGGGCGAAAGCCUGACGGAGCAACGCCGCGUGAGUGAAGAAGGAUUUCGGUUCGUAAAGCUCUGUUGUUAGGGAAGAAUGAUUGUGUAAUAACUAUACACAGUAGAGACGGUACCUAACCAGAAAGCCACGGCUAACUACGUGCCAGCAGCCGCGGUAAUACGUAGGGGGCAAGCGUUGUCCGGAAUUGUUGGGCGGAAAGCGCUCGCAGGUGGUUUAAUAAGUCUGAUGUGAAAGCCCACGGCUCAACCGUGGAGGGUCAUUGGAAACUGUUAAACUUGAGUGCAGGAGAGAAAAGUGGAAUUCCUAGUGUAGCGGUGAAAUGCGUAGAGAUUAGGAGGAACACCAGUGGCGAAGGCGGCUUUUUGGCCUGUAACUGACACUGAGGCGCGAAAGCGUGGGGAGCAAACAGGAUUAGAUACCCCGGUAGUC
RNAcentral lists this ribosomal RNA (465 nucleotides) under uncultured Caryophanales bacterium. Its description in RNAcentral is "bacterial SSU rRNA". It matches the Rfam family "Bacterial small subunit ribosomal RNA", at positions 338 to 795 of the family's 1533-position model. Lineage: Bacteria; Bacillati; Bacillota; Bacilli; Caryophanales. The record is from RNAcentral.